UUCCCAUAUAUCCCAUAGGAUUUCCAAUCAAUCAAAACCAUGGAUACCAAAGCCUUUCCAAAUCAUUUAAUUAAAUCAAACCAUUUAGGGUUCAAUUACUAUAUUAUUCAAUGCAAGGUUUUCAAUAAAAGUCAAACUAUGUGACAAAGAUAUUCUCAUUGACAUUUUAACAAACAUGUUGAGGGCAUAUAGUUAACAAAACAAAAAUCAAUGUAUCAAUUGACUGUUCACAU
Molecule: long non-coding RNA, 233 nt
Filed under: Capsicum annuum
Lineage: Eukaryota; Viridiplantae; Streptophyta; Magnoliopsida; Solanales; Solanaceae
Description: long non-coding RNA (CANN_LNC012975)
Source: RNAcentral